GCCCAUCUUUCAUGUACAGGUUCCGCAACGGACCGACUUCUUGACAUUUUUCACAGGGUCCAAAGACAGCGGCAGCAAAGGUCUGGUCGCACAUCUCCCAGGAUGUGAAAACCUGAGGCCGGGAACACAGACAGGGGAAGAAGGCGCAGAAUCGUCCAACUGGAAACUGACCUCUCGUUCCACAACCGCACGGUAUACUUCAUCUAUAAACAUCGUUUUCCCGCUUCAGUUCAGCAGCUUGGUUUGGCGGUUUGCAGAACGUGCACCACAACCCGAAAGACAUACAGGGUGGCAGGGUGGAGAUACGUCUCUACCAAAGGAGGUGUAAGGCGCUCCUUCCCUCAGGGUCACCCUUGGGCAAGGUGUAGCGCCUGCUUAGCCCUCCCUGAUCACAGUCAUGUGAAACCUUGGGAGCAGGUGGUGGAUGGUCAUAUGAGCAGCUGGUGCAGAUCAUGCAACCACUGACACCAGGCAGACAAUCUCUGAAGAGUAUUGAUAAUGGCUAGAGCCACCCGUCUUGUAAAGACACUGCCCAGAAGAAGGUAAUGGCAAUUUGCCCAGAACCAUCAUGGUCGUGGAUACAGAAAAGAAUAAGAAUUUAUUAGAAGAUUAAAGACCGAUAUAAGACCAUGAUCGCCCAUGUCAUACAACACAGCACAUAAUGAUGGUGAUUUAUUCUUUAUAAGUGUUGAAUGUUGCACGUUGCACUACCACACCAUAGAAAUUUAUUAAUGUAAAAACACAUGGUGAAUAAAGUUGAUCCUUGAUUUGAUUUCAAGGAUGUGACAAAAAAAAUCAACUCCAUUUCUCCAGGAAGUUAUUAAGAAUCUAGGGAAAACUAGAUCUGGACAAAGUAGAGCAUGUACCUGGUCUGGUAAUUAAAUGGAUUUGAAAAUGCACACUUUGAAUCUUCUUCCACAAUUCAGAACUCUAACUUGUAGCUGGUCACCAAAUAGGUAAUCAUAUGAUAGCAAGGUAAUUGAAUCGGGAGAGGAACCUGGUUGAACACCUUGAACUU
Long non-coding RNA from Mobula hypostoma (lesser devil ray), 1018 nucleotides. RefSeq lists it as uncharacterized. The record is from RefSeq and is a predicted model, not a curated record. The transcript is spliced from 3 exons. Lineage: Eukaryota; Metazoa; Chordata; Chondrichthyes; Myliobatiformes; Myliobatidae.